Molecule: ribosomal RNA, 462 nt
Filed under: uncultured bacterium
Lineage: Bacteria
Description: bacterial SSU rRNA
Rfam family: Bacterial small subunit ribosomal RNA
Source: RNAcentral
GAUGAACGCUGGCGGCGUGCCUAAUACAUGCAAGUCGAGCGGUAAGGCCCCUUCGGGGGUACACGAGCGGCGGACGGGUGAGUAACGCGUGGGAAUCUACCCCAAACUGAGGGAUAAGCCAGAGAAAUUUGGUCUAAUACCGCAUAUGGUCUUCGGAUUAAAGCUUCGGCGGUUUGGGAAGAGCCCGCGUAAGAUUAGCUAGUUGGUAAGGUAAUGGCUUACCAAGGCGACGAUCUUUAACUGGUUUGAGAGGAUGAUCAGUCACACUGGAACUGAGACACGGUCCAGACUCCUACGGGAGGCAGCAGUAAGGAAUAUUCCACAAUGGGCGAAAGCCUGAUGGAGCAACGCCGCGUGCAGGAUGAAGGUUUUCGGAUUGUAAACUGCUUUUAUAUGUGAAGAAUAUGACGGUAGCAUAUGAAUAAGGAUCGGCUAACUCCGUGCCAGCAGCCGCAGUAAAAC